GGGCGGUUAGCUCAGUCGGUAGAGCGCCACGCUUACACCGUGGAUGUCGGCGGUUCGAGCCCGUCACCGCCCACCA
Molecule: transfer RNA, 76 nt
Filed under: Rhodospirillales bacterium
Lineage: Bacteria; Pseudomonadati; Pseudomonadota; Alphaproteobacteria; Rhodospirillales
Also listed under: 1 other name
Description: tRNA-Val
Rfam family: tRNA
About the family: Transfer RNA (tRNA) molecules are approximately 80 nucleotides in length. Their secondary structure includes four short double-helical elements and three loops (D, anti-codon, and T loops).
Source: RNAcentral